UACAGAGGGUGCGAGCGUUAAUCGGAAUUACUGGGCGUAAAGCGUGCGUAGACGGUUAUUUAAGUCGGGUGUGAAAGCCCCGGGCUCAACCUGGGAAUUGCAUUCGAGACUGAAUAGCUAGGGUACGGUAGAGGGAAGCGGAAUUCCUGGUGUAGCGGUGAAAUGCGUAGAUAUCAGGAGGAACACCUGUGGCGAAAGCGGCUCACUGGACCACAACGUGACGCUGAUGCACGAAAGCUAGGGGGAGCAAACAGG
Molecule: ribosomal RNA, 255 nt
Filed under: uncultured bacterium
Lineage: Bacteria
Description: partial 16S ribosomal RNA
Rfam family: Bacterial small subunit ribosomal RNA
Source: RNAcentral